RNAcentral lists this ribosomal RNA (501 nucleotides) under uncultured bacterium. RNAcentral describes it as "partial 16S ribosomal RNA". It matches the Rfam family "Bacterial small subunit ribosomal RNA", at positions 899 to 1397 of the family's 1533-position model. The record is from RNAcentral.
ACUCAAAGGAAUAGACGGGGGCCCGCACAAGCGGUGGAGCAUGGGGAUUAAUUCGUCAUUAACCGAAGAACCUUACCAGGGCUUGACAUCCCCGGAACCCUCGAGAAACCGAGGGGUGCCUCGCAAGAGGAGCCGGGAGACAGGUGUUGCAUGGCUGUCGUCAGCUCGUGUCGUGAGAUGUUGGGUUAAGUCCCGCAACGAGCGCAACCCUCACCCAAUGUUGCCAGCGUGAAGUCGGGCACUCUUUGGGAACUGCCCGUGUAAGCGGGAGGAAGGUGGGGAUGACGUCAAGUCAGCAUGGCCCUUACGUCCUGGGCUUCACCCAUGCUACAAUGGGCGUGACAGAGGGCCGCAAACCCGCGAGGGGGAGCCAAUCCCACAAACACGCUCUCAGUUCGGAUUGCAGGCUGCAACUCGCCUGCAUGAAGUCGGAAUCGCUAGUAACCGCCGGUCAGCCAAACGGCGGUGAAUACGUUCCCGGGCCUUGCACACACCGCCCGU